Molecule: ribosomal RNA, 497 nt
Filed under: uncultured bacterium
Lineage: Bacteria
Description: partial 16S ribosomal RNA
Rfam family: Bacterial small subunit ribosomal RNA
Source: RNAcentral
GAUGAACGCUGGCGGCGUGCCUAAUACAUGCAAGUCGAGCGAACGGACGAGAAGCUUGCUUCUCUGAUGUUAGCGGCGGACGGGUGAGUAACACGUGGAUAACCUACCUAUAAGACUGGGAUAACUUCGGGAAACCGUAGCUAAUACCGGAUAAUAUUUUGAACCGCAUGGUUCAAAAGUGAAAGACGGUCUUGCUGUCACUUAUAGAUGGAUCCGCGCUGCAUUAGCUAGUUGGUAAGGUAACGGCUUACCAAGGCAACGAUGCAUAGCCGACCUGAGAGGGUGAGCGGCCACACUGGAACUGAGACGCGGUCCAGACUCCUACGGGAGGCAGCAGUGGGGAAUCUUCCGCAAUGGGCGAAAGCCUGACGGAGCAACGCCGCGUGAGUGAUGAAGGUCUUCGGAUCGUAGAACUCUGUUAUGAGGGAAGAACAUAUGUGUAAGUAACUGUGCACAUCUUGACGGUACCUAAUCAGAAAGCCACGGCUAACUACGUG